ACCAAGAAGCAGCAGCGCGCCAUCCCAUCUCUCCAUAUUCAAUUUCCUCCCUCUCCAAUCCCACCAUCAAAUUCAAUCACCACUUCCUUCCCCCUAAAAACACACACACCUCUCUCCACCAUUGACCACCCAUGGGCCCACCGGAAUCCUCCCACUCCGCCGCCGAGAACCUCAUCCUCCGCUGGGACUCCUCCGCCUCCUCCUCCGACUCCCGCGACAAGAUGAUCUUCUCCUCCUCCGACCGCCUCGAAAUCGACCGCUACCUCGACGCCGUCGACGAGCUCCAGAAAUCCAUGUCCUCCGCCUCCCUCUCCUCCUCCUCCCCCCUCCAGAUCGCCAUGGCCCGCCUCGAAGACGAGUUCCGCUCCAUCCUCCUCUCCCACACCUCCCCCAUCCAAACCGACUCCCUCGCCGAGUCGACUCACUUCGAGUUCAACUCGACCGAGUUUGACGAGUCCGAGAUCAUGGAGAGGAGCUAUGAAGAGGAAGAUGAAAACGAGAAGCAAUUCAGCCACCAGGAGAGCACCGCAAGCAGCUACUGCUACAAGUCCACCAGCAGCAUCCGCGAAAUAGAUCUCAUCCCCGCCGCCGCCGCCUACGACCUCCGCUGCAUCGCCGAGCGGAUGAUCGCCGCCGGCUACCUCCGCGAGUGCAUCCAGGUCUACGCCAGCGUCCGCAAAUCCGCCGUCGACGCCAGCCUCAAGCGCCUCAGCGUCGAGAAGCUCAGCAUCGGCGACAUCCAGAAGCUCGAGUGGGAGGCGCUCGAGACGAAGAUCCGCCGCUGGAUCCGCGCCGCCAGGAUCUCCGUCCGCGUCCUCUUCGCCAGCGAGCGCCGCCUCUGCGAGCAGAUUUUCGAAGAUUCCGGAACCCCCGGCGCCGACGACACCUGCUUCAUGGAAACAAUCAAAGGUCCUGCGAUUCAGCUCUUCAAUUUCGCCGAAGCGAUUAGUAUUAGCAAGCGAUCGCCUGAGAAACUGUUUAAGAUACUUGAUAUGCACGAUGCCUUAUCCGAUUUGAUGCCUGAUAUUGAUUCCGUUUUCGAUUCGAAAUCUAGCGAGUCAAUUAGGGUUCAAGCCGUCGAGAUACUCUCUAGGCUAGCCGAGGCUGCCCGAGGGAUACUAUCGGAAUUCGAGAGCGCUAUCCUUCGCGAGCCCUCUCGAAUUCCAGUUCCCGGCGGUACGAUUCACCCGUUGACUAGAUAUGUGAUGAAUUACAUAAGCUUGAUUUCGGAUUAUAAGCAGACCUUGAUUGAAUUGAUUGUGUCGAAGCCCUUCACCGGUCCAAGGUACUCGAGUGAUCCCAAUGUUCCGGAUAUGGAUUUCUCCGAGUACGAAGGCCAGGCUUCGACGCUGGCGCUUCAUUUGAUUUGGAUCAUUGGGAUUUUGCAGUUCAAUUUGGAUGGGAAGUCUAAGCACUAUAAGGAUACUUCAUUAGCUCAUCUGUUUAUGAUGAAUAACGUUCACUACAUUGUGCAAAAGAUCAAGGGUUCGCCCGAGUUGAGGGAAAUGAUCGGGGAUGAUUACUUGAGGAAGAUGACGGGGAAGUUCCGGUUCUCUGCAACUAAUUACCAACGGGCAACGUGGGUGAGAGUGUUGUAUUGCUUGAGAGACGAGGGUUUGCACGUCAGUGGGAGUUUUUCCUCCGGUGUGUCAAAGAGUGCUCUGAGAGAGAGGUUUAAGGCUUUCAAUUCCAUGUUUGAGGAGGUGCAUAGAACUCAGGCGACGUGGUUGAUACCUGAAAUCCAGCUCCGGGAGGAGCUGAGGAUUUCCAUAUCGGAGAAGCUAAUCCCUGCGUAUAGAUCGUUUCUUGGGAGGUUCAGAAGUCAUAUUGAGAGUGGGAGGCACCCCGAGAAUUACAUCAAAUACUCAGUCGAGGAUCUUGAAAACGCGGUCUUGGACUUCUUCGAGGGGUCCCCCGUGUCACAGCAUUUGAGGAAGCGAUCUGAGUGACCCGAUUGGAACUACUUGCUACAUAGAUUGUAGGACGACAUUCUUUGAAUUUUUGGUGGAGUGUUAUGGGAUGAGGCGACCGUAUUGUCUCCAAAGAUGCUGUUUUCGGACUCUUCAUAGCCUCCUCUCAAAUGCUUCUGCCCUAAGCCUGGUCCCUCGUGAUGACAUCUACGUUGGUCGAGUUUUCUGUACGGAUGACAUGUACGAUAUCAUUUGUUCACAGUCAAGAUAGAAGCCUAAUCUCUCAAGUGAUUGUAUCCGUGGUGGGCCCAUGCCCGUUGGCUGUCGUUUUGUUUUGAUUGUUGAAUGUGUCGAUGCAUGUCAUGUGUGUAUGUUGGUCGGGUUUUCUUUAAAGAUGACCUAUAUGAUCUCUCGAGUUUUCUAUAGGGAUGACCGAUACGACCUCAUAAGUUCAGACUCGAGAUAUAAGCCUGGUCUGGGUGGGCCCACGCCCGCGCUGGUGGAAGAAAUGGCUUAGUCUAACCGUGGGGCAUAAGUUCAAUUGUUUUGUAGUACUAUAAAACUUUGAGCGAUUAUGAUGUUUCAUCAGCCAUUUGAAU
Molecule: RNA transcript, 2509 nt
Organism: Salvia splendens (bonfire salvia)
Lineage: Eukaryota; Viridiplantae; Streptophyta; Magnoliopsida; Lamiales; Lamiaceae
Gene name: exocyst complex component EXO70B1
Exons: 2
Source: RefSeq, a predicted model, not a curated record